RNAcentral lists this long non-coding RNA (278 nucleotides) under Capsicum annuum. RNAcentral's name for it is "long non-coding RNA (CANN_LNC007762)". The record is from RNAcentral. Lineage: Eukaryota; Viridiplantae; Streptophyta; Magnoliopsida; Solanales; Solanaceae.
AAAAUUCUUUUGAUUAUGCUACGUUGAAGAGCUGCGGUAAAUUCCUCAAGGUGAAAUGCAUUUGUCCUAGCUGCGCAUGAAUGUUGUGGACGAAGAAGUAGGGUCAAGCAUAACCACGACCUUCUCCUCCUCCGUAACAACCUAAACCAUCUCUUUUAUGGUCUAGGACAGGACAGAGAGAACUGCCAUCGCGAACUCUGGUGUAUCGCUCAUUUUUUACGGGCGAUUGUGGAGCAGCGGCUUAACAUGGAGCCCGAGAAAAUGAUCACCUCCCCCCA